This 253-nucleotide ribosomal RNA is filed under the name uncultured bacterium. RNAcentral's name for it is "partial 16S ribosomal RNA". It matches the Rfam family "Bacterial small subunit ribosomal RNA", at positions 524 to 776 of the family's 1533-position model. The record is from RNAcentral.
UACAGGGGGGGCAAGCGUUGUUCGGAAUUACUGGGCGUAAAGGGCCAGUAGGCGGCCAACUAAGUCACACGUGAAAUCCCCAGGCUUAACCUGGGAACUGCGUGUGAUACUGGAUGGCUUGAAUUCGGGAGAGGGAUGCAGAAUUCCAGGUGUAGCGGUGAAAUGCGUAGAUAUCUGGAGGAAUACCGGUGGCGAAGGCGGCAGCCUGGACCGACAUUGACGCUGAACGGCGAAAGCUAGGGGAGCAAACGGG